This 366-nucleotide ribosomal RNA is filed under the name Triticum aestivum (bread wheat). Its description in RNAcentral is "partial small subunit ribosomal RNA". The record is from RNAcentral. Lineage: Eukaryota; Viridiplantae; Streptophyta; Magnoliopsida; Poales; Poaceae.
AUGAGCGCGGACCAUCGAGAUCAAGGCCGCCGAGGGCCGCUGAUGAGCGCGGACCAUCGAGAUCAAGGCCGCCGAGGUACAAAUACUAGAAAACUGCUGCUGCAGGACGUCCUCCUCCCCUCCUCCUACCCUCACACGUGCUAUGGGUUAACGAUGAUGAAUUUGUUCUAUUUGGAGGCAUUGGUGCCCCAUCAUCGAGUGCACGGAUGCAACAACAACAAGAAGAUCAUGGUCGUGCGUAUCAUCAAGCACACCAUGGAGAUCAUCCAUCUCACCGAUGCUAACUCAAUCCUGAUCACUGUCGACGCUAUCAUCCACAGGUAUUUCUCAAGGUUUCCUUUGUUCUCUCCUGCCUUUGUGAUGUGA